This 492-nucleotide ribosomal RNA is filed under the name uncultured bacterium. RNAcentral's name for it is "partial 16S ribosomal RNA". It matches the Rfam family "Bacterial small subunit ribosomal RNA", at positions 29 to 507 of the family's 1533-position model. The record is from RNAcentral.
AGUGAGCGCUGGCGGUAGGCCUAACACAUGCAAGUCGAACGGCAGCACAGUAAGAGCUUGCUCUUACGGGUGGCGAGUGGCGGACGGGUGAGGAAUACAUCGGAAUCUACUUUUUCGUGGGGGAUAACGUAGGGAAACUUACGCUAAUACCGCAUACGACCUACGGGUGAAAGCAGGGGAUCUUCGGACCUUGCGCGAUUGAAUGAGCCGAUGUCGGAUUAGCUAGUUGGCGGGGUAAAGGCCCACCAAGGCGACGAUCCGUAGCUGGUCUGAGAGGAUGAUCAGCCACACUGGAACUGAGACACGGUCCAGACUCCUACGGGAGGCAGCAGCGGGGAAUAUUGGACAAAGGGCGCAAGCCUGAUCCAGCCAUACCGCGUGGGUGAAGAAGGCCUUCGGGUUGUAAAGCCCUUUUGUUGGGAAAGAAAAGCAGCAGGUUAAUACCCCGCUGUUCUGACGGUACCCAAAGAAUAAGCACCGGCUAACUUCGUG